GCUUGAUUUAUAAUUUUCUUUAUGUGUUUUUUCAAUCUACCUUCUUCAUCAAAUUUAGUUAUGAUGAUGUAUUUGGUUGAAGGGUGUUUGAGUUGAAUUUCAAGUAAUUCAGUAUCAAGUUUGUUGCUUUGUGUGGGUUUUUUUAUCUCUGUAUUUUAAGAGAAAAAUUGGAGUAUAAUCUCUCAAUUUUUGUUGAUUUUCUGACUCAAUUCUUGUCUUCGUUGUUAACAUCUGCGAGUUAUCUUUCAUCACUGUUCUGAUUUUGAACUUUACAGUUUGAUUUGGAGUUUUCGUUUGUGUGUUUGAUGUCGCCACUUACUCCAAUUUGAUAAUUCAUGAUUUUUUUAUGGAAUUUUGCGUGUAGGGUGUAUAUGCAUUACUAAUUUAUGUUAGUUGUUGGCCAUGAAAUCAAUUUGGGUCUUUUUGGUUCUUCUUGAGAAACAUGAAAAUCUAGUCAUAUAUGAGGAAGCUUCCAUGAAAUUCACAACUUCAAAGUGAAGAACUACUACUAUUAAAUAAUACAAAUUCUGAGUACAUUUGGGUUAUUUAGAUGGAAAAAUCUGAACUCAUGUUGCUUCACUAUUUUGAUUUUAAGAGGCACAUUGAAAGUCAAGACAAUCAUUGAGAAUAUAAAGUAAAUUACUCUAAAUGACAAUAUUAUAAUAAUUCGGAACCCCAUGAAUUAGAAAGCUUCCUUUUUUAUAUUAGUGUGUUGGAUUUGAUUAUAUGCUACCUCUUUGUGAAGAAAAAGAGACAUCAUUAGCAGCGUUAUGUCCCGCUGAUUUUUGUUAGAAACCUAACCUUUGAAUUUAUUAGACAGGAUUUGAUGUAUCUCCACCUUAUCGAGGACAAUGGCCUUACAUAGAUUUAAAGAUCAUGUAUUAGGGUAGUAGGCUCAUAUGCACAGAAGUACAGGAACUAGGAAACAAAAUAGUUCCUUAUUCACUUAUCUGACCAAUUAUUCUAUAUUGAAACAGAAUGAGAAUAAAUUGCAGAACAUUAAGCUUCACCAUCAAAUUUUUCCUUAUAGAAAUUAUUACUUAACUAUCACAGAAUGACAACACUAAGCUCUACCGUUAUGUUCUUUCGUUAAUAACUGUCACACAUGGUUGUUUAUUAUUACUAUAUCAUUAUAGGUCAUUUAUACUGCUCUGUGUUAGCAAAUAUUAGCUAGGCAAUUUCAACUCCGCAGGAAUUUGAAACUCAAAUUUGUCUAGCUGAAGAAACAAGGAAUAUACUCUUGAUUACACACAACGAGUUCGAUGGGAUUGAGGCUGCAAUCAGAAUAGUGUCCUAAGUUCAUAGAUGUACAAAAGGGUAGUGAUGCAUUGUAUUUCAUAUUAGGAAAUGCUACUUCAGUUAGUAGGGAGUGGAGGAACUUCAGAACUACCACUAGAUGAUGAUUUUGUCCAGUACAACAGCAAUGCCUGCUAGAAUUCUUUUUAAAGAGAGCAAAGAUCAAACUGUACACUUCCAAACUACAAUUGCGCAAGAAGAAAAUCAAUUAUUCAGCACGCAGAUACUCUAAAUCUGAUGAUUUAGCUGCAUAUCAUGAUAUUCCUUUUACAGGCAGACUUCAACUCUUCAAAGGCCAACAACUACAAAUAGUACACACGCUCUUUGUAAAAACGCUGCACUGAAUUUUUUUUAUAUUUCAUUUGUGAAGACAUGUUGGGCCCGUGCAAACCACUAGUACAAGUACAAAGGAACAAAUAUAUAUUGUAUAAAUAACAUAAAUACCAACCUUUUAAAAGUAAUUACACUC
Long non-coding RNA from Capsicum annuum, 1765 nucleotides. RefSeq lists it as uncharacterized. Lineage: Eukaryota; Viridiplantae; Streptophyta; Magnoliopsida; Solanales; Solanaceae. The transcript is spliced from 3 exons. The record is from RefSeq and is a predicted model, not a curated record.